RNAcentral lists this ribosomal RNA (253 nucleotides) under uncultured bacterium. RNAcentral's name for it is "partial 16S ribosomal RNA". It matches the Rfam family "Bacterial small subunit ribosomal RNA", at positions 524 to 776 of the family's 1533-position model. The record is from RNAcentral.
GACAGAGGUGCCGAGCGUUAGGCGGAAUCACUGGGCUUAAAGCGUGUGUAGGCGGCCUUCUAAGUACCUUGUGAAAUCCCACGGCUUAACCGUGGAACUGCUUGGUAUACUGGUUGUCUUGGGCCAUCUAGGGGCUACUGGAACAAACGGUGGAGCGGUGAAAUGCGUAGAUAUCGUUUGGAACGCCAAUGGUGAAAACAAGUAGCUGGGGAUGUGCCGACGCUGAGACACGAAAGCCAGGGGAGCGAACGGG